This 109-nucleotide ribosomal RNA is filed under the name Staphylococcus pseudintermedius. Its description in RNAcentral is "partial 23S ribosomal RNA". It matches the Rfam family "Bacterial large subunit ribosomal RNA", at positions 2815 to 2925 of the family's 2925-position model. The record is from RNAcentral. Lineage: Bacteria; Bacillati; Bacillota; Bacilli; Caryophanales; Staphylococcaceae.
CCAACUUCGGUUAUAAGAUCCCUCAAAGAUGAUGAGGUGAAUAGGUUCGAGGUGGAAGCGUAGCGAUACGUGGAGCUGACGAAUACUAAUCGAUCGAAGACUUAAUCAA